GCACCCGCGGUAAUUCCAGCUCCAAUAGCGUAUACUAAUGUUGUUGCAGUUAAAAAGCUCGUAGUCGGAUUUCAGUAGGCUCAGUUAAGUCUCUUCUAUUGAGUUCUUUAUGGGCCUGCUUCUUUGACAGAAACUUCUAUGUUAUUCAUUUAGCGUGGGUAGCGACUGUCUCUUUUACUUUGAGAAAAUUAGAGUGUUCAAAGCAGGUAUUCGCCUGAAUAUUACUCUUGGAAUAAUGCUAUAAGACUUUGGUUCUAAUGUAUUGGUGAUUGGGACCAGAGUAAUGAUUGAUAGGGACGGUUGGGGUCUUACGUACUGCAAAGCGAGAGGUGAAAUUCUUGGACCUUUGUAUGACGAACAACUGCGAAAGCAUUGGACUAGGACGUUCCCGUCGAUCAAGAACGAAAGU
Molecule: ribosomal RNA, 409 nt
Filed under: uncultured eukaryote
Lineage: Eukaryota
Description: SSU rRNA
Rfam family: Eukaryotic small subunit ribosomal RNA
Source: RNAcentral